GGGAUAGCCUUUCGAAAGAAAGAUUAAUACCGGAUAGCAUACGAAUAUCGCAUGAUAUUUUUAUUAAAGAAUUUCGGUUAUCGAUGGGGAUGCGUUCCAUUAGUUUGUUGGCGGGGUAACGGCCCACCAAGACAACGAUGGAUAGGGGUUCUGAGAGGAAGGUCCCCCACAUUGGAACUGAGACACGGUCCAAACUCCUACGGGAGGCAGCAGUGAGGAAUAUUGGUCAAUGGGCGAGAGCCUGAACCAGCCAAGUAGCGUGAAGGAUGAAGGCUCUAUGGGUCGUAAACUUCUUUUAUAUGGGAAUAAAGUAUUCCACGUGUGGAAUUUUGUAUGUACCAUAUGAAUAAGGAUCGGCUAACUCCGUGCCAGCAGCCGCGGUAAUACGGAGGAUCCGAGCGUUAUCCGGAUUUAUUGGGUUUAAAGGGAGCGUAGGUGGAUUGUUAAGUCAGUUGUGAAAGUUUGCGGCUCAACCGUAAAAUUGCAGUUGAAACUGGCAGUCUUGAGUACAGUAGAGGUGGGCGGAAUUCGUGGUGUAGCGGUGAAAUGCUUAGAUAUCACGAAGAACUCCGAUUGCGAAGGCAGCUCACUAGACUGUCACUGACACUGAUGCUCGAAAGUGUGGGUAUCAAACAGGAUUAGAUACCCUGGUAGUCCACACAGUAA
This 666-nucleotide ribosomal RNA is filed under the name uncultured bacterium. RNAcentral's name for it is "bacterial SSU rRNA". It matches the Rfam family "Bacterial small subunit ribosomal RNA", at positions 140 to 805 of the family's 1533-position model. The record is from RNAcentral.